GCUCCGGUAGCUCAGUUGGCAGAGCAAGCGGCUCUUAACCGUUGUGUCGGGAGUUCAAGUCUCCCUCGGAGUAC
RNAcentral lists this transfer RNA (74 nucleotides) under Streptomyces phage Beuffert. RNAcentral's name for it is "tRNA-Lys". It matches the Rfam family "tRNA". Rfam says of the family: Transfer RNA (tRNA) molecules are approximately 80 nucleotides in length. Their secondary structure includes four short double-helical elements and three loops (D, anti-codon, and T loops). RNAcentral also lists the same sequence under 1 other name. The record is from RNAcentral. Lineage: Duplodnaviria; Heunggongvirae; Uroviricota; Caudoviricetes; Stanwilliamsviridae.